GGACAGUUGGCCGAGCGGUAAGGCGCCGUCUUGCUAAGACGAGGCCGGGUGGAAGCCCGCGCAGGUUCGAUCCCUGCACUCUCCGC
Molecule: transfer RNA, 86 nt
Filed under: Actinomycetospora sp. NBRC 106375
Lineage: Bacteria; Bacillati; Actinomycetota; Actinomycetes; Pseudonocardiales; Pseudonocardiaceae
Description: tRNA-Ser
Rfam family: tRNA
About the family: Transfer RNA (tRNA) molecules are approximately 80 nucleotides in length. Their secondary structure includes four short double-helical elements and three loops (D, anti-codon, and T loops).
Source: RNAcentral